Molecule: long non-coding RNA, 650 nt
Organism: Oryza sativa Japonica Group (Japanese rice)
Lineage: Eukaryota; Viridiplantae; Streptophyta; Magnoliopsida; Poales; Poaceae
Source: RefSeq, a predicted model, not a curated record
CAUCCCUCUCGGAAAAAAUCCCCAAAUCGAUCCGCCUCUCUCUCUCUCCCCCCUUCUCGCCGGCGGCCGGCGCGGCGCGGCGAGGCGGAUUCGGCGGCGAUUUCCUUCCUAGGGUUUGGUCUUCCUCCUCCCCUCCGGCCUCCUCUCGCACCGACGGCAUCGCCCCCUCCCUUCUAGAUCCGCCUCGCCAUCGAAAACCCUAGACGACCACGAGCCGCCAUGACCGUCCCCCUUCCCACCACCCGCCGCCGAUGGCGGCAUCGACGAUUACAACCUGCGAUUACCGUCAUGUCGUGCGGUUCGUUCGUCUCCCCCUCCGCGGCGACGCCUCGAGCAGGUGGAGUUUAUGUUAUUCAUACAUGCAAGUUAUGUCAAUGACACCUAACUGGUUUAGUUUAGAUCCUUGUGUCUCAUUGUCUCCUUUGCAAGACAGAAGUUCUAUUUGAUUAAAGCAAUGCUGCAAUGUAUGUUGAUUGUGAGGCAAUGACUGAAAAGGAUGAUUAUGAGAGCAAUACUGAAUCACCUGUCUGUUUGUAUUAGUAUGUGAGUGUGACAAUAAUAUUAAUGGCAACUAUAUCCUUCGUCAUUAGCUGGAAGAACAUUUUUUUUGUUUUAAAAAGCAAAUAUAGCUCGUGUGAUAGUACUUUUUA